GGUGCCGUAGCCAAGUGGUAAGGCAUAGGUUUGCAAAACCUACAAUCACCGGUUCGACUCCGGUCGGCACCU
RNAcentral lists this transfer RNA (72 nucleotides) under Myxococcales bacterium. RNAcentral's name for it is "tRNA-Cys". It matches the Rfam family "tRNA". From Rfam's summary of the family: Transfer RNA (tRNA) molecules are approximately 80 nucleotides in length. Their secondary structure includes four short double-helical elements and three loops (D, anti-codon, and T loops). Lineage: Bacteria; Pseudomonadati; Myxococcota; Myxococcia; Myxococcales. The record is from RNAcentral.